GCAUCGCUGGUGUAGUGGUAUCAUGCAAGACUCCCAUCCUUGCGACCCGGGUUCGAUUCCCGGGCGGUGCA
This 71-nucleotide transfer RNA is filed under the name Venturia canescens. RNAcentral describes it as "tRNA-Gly". It matches the Rfam family "tRNA". From Rfam's summary of the family: Transfer RNA (tRNA) molecules are approximately 80 nucleotides in length. Their secondary structure includes four short double-helical elements and three loops (D, anti-codon, and T loops). The record is from RNAcentral. Lineage: Eukaryota; Metazoa; Arthropoda; Insecta; Hymenoptera; Ichneumonidae.